AGGAUAGAGGCCUACCAUGGUGGUAACGGGUAACGGGGUGUUAGGGCACGACACCGGAGAGGGAGCCUGAGAAACGGCUACCACAUCCAAGGAUGGCAGCAGGCGCGCAAAUUACCCAAUCCCGACACGGGGAGGUAGUGACAAUAAAUAACAAUACGGGGUUCUUUCGGAUCUCGUAAUUGGAAUGAGUACAAUUUAAAUCUCUUAACGAGGAACAAUUGGAGGGCAAGUCUGGUGCCAGCAGCCGCGGUAAUUCCAGCUCCAAUAGCGUAUAUUAAAGUUGUUGCAGUUAAAAAGCUCGUAGUUGAAUUUCGGGGUUAGUAGGUUGGUCAUGCCUCUGGUAUGUACUGGUCUCACUGAUUCCUCCUUCCUUAUGAACCGUAAUGCCAUUAAUUUGGUGUUGCGGGGAAUUUGGACUGUUACUUUGAAAAAAUUAGAGUGUUUAAAGCNGNCUAACGCUUGAAUACAUUAGCAUGGAAUAAUGAAAUAGGACGUUCGAUCUUAUUUUGUUGGUUUCUAGGAUUGACGUAAUGAUUAAUAGGGAUAGUUGGGGGCAUUAGUAUUCAAUUGUCAGAGGUGAAAUUCUUGGAUUUAUUGAAGACUAACUACUGCGAAAGCAUUUGCCAAGGAUGUUUUCAUUAAUCAAGAACGAAAGUUAGGGGAUCGAAGACGAUCAGAUACCGUCGUAGUCUUAACCAUAAACUAUGCCGACUAGGGAUCGGAUG
This 725-nucleotide ribosomal RNA is filed under the name uncultured fungus. Its description in RNAcentral is "SSU rRNA". It matches the Rfam family "Eukaryotic small subunit ribosomal RNA", at positions 330 to 1059 of the family's 1831-position model. Lineage: Eukaryota; Fungi. The record is from RNAcentral.